Molecule: ribosomal RNA, 113 nt
Filed under: Ophiostoma minus
Lineage: Eukaryota; Fungi; Ascomycota; Sordariomycetes; Ophiostomatales; Ophiostomataceae
Description: partial 28S ribosomal RNA
Source: RNAcentral
GCCCAGCCGUCAAGCCGCGCAGGCGACCCCUCUCGCAAGGGGCGUCUCGCACUUUUAUACAAGGUUGACCUCGGAUCAGGUAGGACUACCCGCUGAACUUAAGCAUAUCAAUA